UACAGAGGUCUCAAGCGUUGUUCGGAUUCAUUGGGCGUAAAGGGUGCGUAGGCGGCGCGGUAAGUCGGGUGUGAAAUCUCGGGGCUUAACUGCGGGCCUGCAGCCGAUACGGGCAGGCUAGAGUUCGGUAGGGGAGACUGGAAUUCCUGGUGUAGCGGUGAAAUGCGCAGGAUAUCAGGAGGAACACCGGUGGCGAAGGCGGGUCUCUGGGCCGAUACUGACGCUGAGGAGCGAAAGCGUGGGGAGCGAACAGG
This 254-nucleotide ribosomal RNA is filed under the name uncultured bacterium. Its description in RNAcentral is "partial 16S ribosomal RNA". It matches the Rfam family "Bacterial small subunit ribosomal RNA", at positions 524 to 776 of the family's 1533-position model. The record is from RNAcentral.